CAGCCGCCGCGGUAAUACGUAGGGUGCGAGCGUUAAUUGGAAUUACUGGGCGUAAAGCGUGCGCAGGCGGUUAUAUAAGACAGAUGUGAAAUCCCCGGGCUCAACCUGGGACCUGCAUUUGUGACUGUAUAGCUAGAGUACGGUAGAGGGGGAUGGAAUUCCGCGUGUAGCAGUGAAAUGCGUAGAUAUGCGGAGGAACACCAAUGGCGAAGGCAAUCCCCUGGACCUGUACUGACGCUCAUGCACGAAAGCGUGGGGAGCAAACAGGAUUAGAUACCCCUGUAGUCCCUGUCUCUUAUAC
This 301-nucleotide ribosomal RNA is filed under the name uncultured bacterium. Its description in RNAcentral is "partial 16S ribosomal RNA". It matches the Rfam family "Bacterial small subunit ribosomal RNA", at positions 509 to 807 of the family's 1533-position model. The record is from RNAcentral.